GUUGGAAAGAAUGUGGACAUGUCAAGUCAGGCUCAGGGAGAACCACAGCCGACAGUUACAUGGGAUAAGGUUUUGGUAUCAAAGCCCUGGAGUGUUCAGCCCUGCACGGGUCCCCCAGCCGUGACUGGUCAUGGAAGUCAGCAGGCCCAGGCUGCUGUGUGCGUGAAGGCAGUGCGCCUGUGGGAUGAUGUGAGCUACCCUGAGGUUCUCAAGGCCCAUGUGCGAGUGUGGCGGACAGCUGUGGAGGUACAGCUGCUGCAUUUUGACCAUGAGAUCCUUUCUCCUUUUACAUUGCCGGGUUCUCAGGUCCUAAGGUGAGAGAGGAUUUAAUUAGUAUGAGAAUGUCUUCCCUUACUUUCUUCAUUUACUGU
RNAcentral lists this long non-coding RNA (371 nucleotides) under Bos mutus (wild yak). RNAcentral describes it as "lncRNA (ENSBMUG00000012940.1)". Lineage: Eukaryota; Metazoa; Chordata; Mammalia; Artiodactyla; Bovidae. The record is from RNAcentral.